RNAcentral lists this ribosomal RNA (890 nucleotides) under Pseudoalteromonas sp. SCQQ13. Its description in RNAcentral is "partial 23S ribosomal RNA". It matches the Rfam family "Bacterial large subunit ribosomal RNA", at positions 1 to 945 of the family's 2925-position model. Lineage: Bacteria; Pseudomonadati; Pseudomonadota; Gammaproteobacteria; Alteromonadales; Pseudoalteromonadaceae. The record is from RNAcentral.
GGUUAAGUGACUAAGCGUACACGGUGGAUGCCUUGGCAGUUGGAGGCGAUGAAGGACGUAUUAACUUGCGAUAAGCCUAGUCAAGCUAGUAAAAAGCACUUGAGACUAGGAUUUCCGAAUGGGGAAACCCACCUGCUUGCAGGUAUCGUUAACUGAAUACAUAGGUUAACGAGGCGAACGCGGAGAACUGAAACAUCUAAGUACCCGUAGGAAAAGAAAUCAACCGAGAUUCCGAAAGUAGCGGCGAGCGAAAUCGGAACAGCCCUUAAGCUUAUUAUGUGUUAAUGGAAGGCUGCUGGAAAGCGCCACGAUACAGGGUGAUAGUCCCGUACAUGAAAAGACAUUUUAAGUGAAAUCGAGUAGGUCGGAGCACGUGAAACUUUGACUGAAUAUAGGUGGACCAUCAUCUAAGGCUAAAUACUCCCAACUGACCGAUAGUGAACCAGUACCGUGAGGGAAAGGCGAAAAGAACCCCUGUGAGGGGAGUGAAAUAGAACCUGAAACCGUGUACGUACAAGCAGUAGGAGCCCACUUGUUGGGUGACUGCGUACCUUUUGUAUAAUGGGUCAGCGACUUAUAUUUUGUAGCGAGGUUAACCGAAUAGGGUAGCCGUAGGGAAACCGAGUCUUAACUGGGCGAAUAGUUGCAAGGUAUAGACCCGAAACCCGGUGAUCUAGCCAUGAGCAGGUUGAAGGUUGAGUAACAUCAACUGGAGGACCGAACCCACUAACGUUGAAAAGUUAGGGGAUGACUUGUGGUUAGGAGUGAAAGGCUAAUCAAACCGGGAGAUAGCUGGUUCUCCCCGAAAUCUAUUUAGGUAGAGCCUCGGACGAAUACUUACGGGGGUAGAGCACUGUUAAGGCUAGGGGGUCAUCCCGACUUACCAACCC